UUUGAAAAGAGAGAUUAAAGCUCAUCAGACACGUUUUGGAAGAGCAGAAGAACGAUCAAUCAAAACAGAGUAUUUCGAAUCCAACUUUUGAGGUUAUGUUCUAGACUCAUAGAUCUAUGUUUAUCAGAAAGCGGAUCAUCAUUUGGAUUUUUCAUCUAAUAGUUAUGGACAUUUCUUUGGGGCUACUCGUUGUAGAUCGGAUCCGCCGAUAGUCAACUUCAUCGGUGUUUUCCCGUUGAUCUAGAAGGAACCAGCAAACGAGCGAGAUAUCAUCAGAAAGAUCUCGUUGUCAGCUUUCCAUAUCAUCUUCCCGAUCGUAAAACCAAGGCACGGUUGGAAAGUUAUCGACGUUGCUUCUUGGCCAAGGAUAAGCUGAAGCUUUAGUGAUGCAGAUACAGUUCCGACCAGUCUCAGCGUAAAGGCCAAACGGCCGAUCUAAACGAAAGCUUUCAAUCUGGAAAUUUGUCAGUAAGUAGUUCACUCUUUUAUCUAUCGUCUCCAAGAAGCGGAUUGUCAUUUCGAGUAAUUUUCUGAAAGUUGUGUUUGUUUUCGCGAGAGGUAUUACUGCAGUCUUCGUUUGCGACCAGUCUGGAGGAGAAGUUAAUUUGGUUAAUCAAAUGGUGUCCGAUCGGAGUAAACUCGGUGUCUAUGGACAGAGGACAUCUAGGACUACAUUCUGACCGUACGGAUUGAAAAGUCAACGGUCAGUUCUCGAGAUAUUCAUCCGUUGUCUUUAGAGUUCAGUUCUGCCAGAAUCAUCACAUUCAUUUAUCUUCAGAGAGUUCCGGAGUUGCUGUUUCAGAGUCGUCAAUGUUCAUUAUGUGUUUUCUCAGGUUAUCUUUAGAACCCAUGGCAAAGGUGAGCUAGCCGAGCAGGAGUGAUUGCUUUCGGUUUGGUGCUUUGGGAGUUUUAUUUCUUAUUUUCAUACUUCGAUUUUACGCUUUUAUCGAUAUUUUCCGGGAUUUAUUUUAUUUAUGCUAUUAUUGGAUUAUGGUGUUGAGUUUGACUUUUGAGAAGUAAUAAAUUGAGACUUUUAUGAGAUUA
This is a long non-coding RNA of Raphanus sativus (radish), 1044 nucleotides long. RefSeq lists it as uncharacterized. The transcript is spliced from 2 exons. NCBI's taxonomy places the organism in Eukaryota, Viridiplantae, Streptophyta, Magnoliopsida, Brassicales, Brassicaceae. The record is from RefSeq and is a predicted model, not a curated record.